GACGAACGCUGGCGGCGUGCUUAACACAUGCAAGUCGAACGUGAUUUUUGUGGAAAUUCUUUCGGGAAUGGAAAUGAAAUGAAAGUGGCGAACGGGUGAGUAACACGUGAGCAGCCUACCUUACACAGGGGGAUAGCCGUUGGAAACGACGAUUAAUACCGCAUGAGACCACAGAAUCGCAUGAUAUAGGGGUCAAAGAUUUAUCGGUGUAAGAAGGGCUCGCGUCUGAUUAGCUAGUUGGAAGGGUAAAGGCCUACCAAGGCGACGAUCAGUAGCCGGUCUGAGAGGAUGAACGGCCACAUUGGAACUGAGACACGGUCCAAACUCCUACGGGAGGCAGCAGUGGGGAAUAUUGCACAAUGGGGGGAACCCUGAUGCAGCGACGCCGCGUGAGCGAAGAAGGUUUUCGAAUCGUAAAGCUCUGUCCUAUGAGAAGAUAAUGACGGUAUCAUAGGAGGAAGCCCCGGCUAAAUACGUGCCAGCAGCCGCGGUAAUACGUAUGGGGCGAGCGUUGUCCGGAAUUAUUGGGCGUAAAGGGUACGUAGGCGGUUUUUUAAGUCAGGUGUGAAAGCGUGAGGCUUAACCUCAUUAAGCACUUGAAACUGGAAGACUUGAGUGAAGGAGAGGAAAGUGGAAUUCCUAGUGUAGCGGUGAAAUGCGUAGAUAUUAGGAGGAAUACCGGUGGCGAAGGCGACUUUCUGGACUUUUACUGACGCUCAGGUACGAAAGCGUGGGGAGCAAACAGG
Molecule: ribosomal RNA, 746 nt
Filed under: uncultured Parvimonas sp.
Lineage: Bacteria; Bacillati; Bacillota; Tissierellia; Tissierellales; Peptoniphilaceae
Description: bacterial SSU rRNA
Rfam family: Bacterial small subunit ribosomal RNA
Source: RNAcentral